This 494-nucleotide ribosomal RNA is filed under the name uncultured bacterium. RNAcentral describes it as "partial 16S ribosomal RNA". It matches the Rfam family "Bacterial small subunit ribosomal RNA", at positions 28 to 507 of the family's 1533-position model. The record is from RNAcentral.
GACGAACGCUGGCGGCGUGCUUAACACAUGCAAGUCGAACGGAAAGGCCUGCUUUCCCUUGUGGUUUGCGGGUACUCGAGUGGCGAACGGGUGAGUAACACGUGAGUGAUCUGCCCCCAACUUGGGUAUAAGCCUGGGAAACUGGGUCUAAUUCCCGAUAGGACUGCAGGGUGGUGCCUGUGGUGGAAAACGUUUUUCUAGUGGUUGGGGAUGAGCUCGCGGCCUAUCAGCUUGUUGGUGGGGUAAUGGCCUACCAAGGCGGCGACGGGUAGCCGGCCUGGGAGGGUGGACAGCGACAUUGGGACUGAGAUACGGCCCAGACUCGAACGGGAAGCAGCAGUGGGGAAGAUUGCACAAUGGGCGGAAGCCAGAAGCAGCGACGCCGAGUGGGGGAUGACGGCCUUCGGGUUGUAAGCUCCUUUCGACCGCGAGGAAGCCACCUGGUUGGAGGGGUGGUGACGGUAGUGGUAGAAGAAGCACCGGCUAACUACGUG